Molecule: ribosomal RNA, 405 nt
Filed under: uncultured bacterium
Lineage: Bacteria
Description: partial 16S ribosomal RNA
Rfam family: Bacterial small subunit ribosomal RNA
Source: RNAcentral
UAGGGAAUAUUGGGCAAUGGAGGCAACUCUGACCCAGCAACGCCGCGUGAAUGAAGAAGGUUUUCGGAUUGUAAAGUUCUUUUCUUGGGGACGAAAAAAAUGACGGUACCUAAGGAAUAAGCCCCGGCAAACUACGUGCCAGCAGCCGCGGUAAUACGUAGGGGGCAAGCGUUGUCCGGAAUGACUGGGCGUAAAGGGUGCGUAGGUGGCUUUUUGCGUCGUAUGUGAAAGCCCUGGGCUCAACCCAGGAACUGCAUACGAUACGGGAAAGCUAGAGUGCAGGAGAGGUCUGUGGAAUUCCAUGUGUAGCGGUAGAAUGCGUAGAUAUAUGGAGGAACAUCGGAGGCGAAGGCGGCAGACUGGACUGUAACUGACACUGAGGCACGAAAGCGUGGGGAGCAAACA